UGGUGGAGUGAUUUGUCUGGUUAAUUCCGAUAACGAACGAGACCUUAACCUGCUAAAUAGUGCGGGCGACUUGCGUCGCUGCGUUCUUCUUAGAGGGACUGACUACGAUUAGUGGUCGGAAGUUUGAGGCAAUAACA
This 137-nucleotide ribosomal RNA is filed under the name uncultured eukaryote. Its description in RNAcentral is "partial 18S ribosomal RNA". It matches the Rfam family "Eukaryotic small subunit ribosomal RNA", at positions 1299 to 1458 of the family's 1831-position model. The record is from RNAcentral.